GGGUGCGAUCAUACCAGCACUAAAACACCGAAUUCC
This 36-nucleotide ribosomal RNA is filed under the name Prospero autumnale (starry hyacinth). Lineage: Eukaryota; Viridiplantae; Streptophyta; Magnoliopsida; Asparagales; Asparagaceae. RNAcentral also lists the same sequence under 1 other name. The record is from RNAcentral.